GCCCUUCCAAUCUCCCUCGCCCGCCCCUAUAUUCGCUUUGCCAGCUUGCUGGCUAUGGCGAUAAACUGCCGAUGAAAUAAGCCGUUCGGACCCGGGGGCGGUACCCGGCGCCUCCACCACAAUCCGCCGCCAGAUGGCGGAUUUUGCUGGGGGCGAAAUAGGAUCGACGAAGGUGUAAAGAUCGGACUUUUGCCCGGCAUAGUACCACCGUCAUCGGGCUAAACCUGUAGUUGCAAAUGACAACUAUGCGGAAGCACGUCUCGCAGCGUAAGCUGUGCGAUAGCUUCAAAUCAAGUCCUAGCGGUUCGCACUUCUAGGCGGGGUUCGGAGGUACCUGGCAACAGAAACCUCCACU
RNAcentral lists this transfer-messenger RNA (355 nucleotides) under Mesorhizobium sp. It matches the Rfam family "Alphaproteobacteria transfer-messenger RNA". Rfam says of the family: Bacterial tmRNA, also known as 10Sa RNA or SsrA, is named for its dual tRNA and mRNA-like properties. Its role is to liberate the mRNA from a stalled ribosome. The record is from RNAcentral. Lineage: Bacteria; Pseudomonadati; Pseudomonadota; Alphaproteobacteria; Hyphomicrobiales; Phyllobacteriaceae.